CAAAAGGAACAGUGUGAGGAGGAAGGAGCAGCAGAGACGAAGUGUUGUGGAAUGACCACAGUCCCCAUUCUCUAUCCCCUGCACUUCUCAGGGGAAGGAGAAGGGGAGGGAGAGCAGUUUGGUGGGUUACUGCAGCUAGCCAAAGUUAACCCACCACAGAAAAUACACUUGAGUAGGUGAGCUUUCCUUCAUCAGUGAGAACAUGCAUUUUAAAACAUCAAGAAAUUGGUUACUUUGCCAAAAGGGAGACCUAAUGCAAUGACUUCUGCUCCAGUAACAUCACCCGGAAUUUGACGAAUAUGAAGGACACGUGAAGGCAAA
Molecule: long non-coding RNA, 321 nt
Organism: Corapipo altera (White-ruffed manakin)
Lineage: Eukaryota; Metazoa; Chordata; Aves; Passeriformes; Pipridae
Exons: 3
Source: RefSeq, a predicted model, not a curated record